Molecule: transfer RNA, 64 nt
Filed under: Plagiorchis maculosus
Lineage: Eukaryota; Metazoa; Platyhelminthes; Trematoda; Plagiorchiida; Plagiorchiidae
Description: tRNA-Lys
Source: RNAcentral
CUUCGAGUAGCUUAAGUUUAAAGUAUUGAAUUCUUACUUCAGGGAUAUCUUUUGAUUUCGGAGG